CCUACGGGUGGCAGCAGUGAGGAAUAUUGGUCAAUGGGCGGAAGCCUGAACCAGCCAAGUAGCGUGCGGGAUGAAGGCCCUACGGGUCGUAAACCGCUUUUGCACGGGGAUAACACCCUCCACUUGUGGAGGUCUGCAGGUACCGUGCGAAUAAGGGCCGGCUAAUUCCGUUCCCGCAGCCGGCGUAAUACAGAGGGCCCGAGCGUUAUCCGGAUUCAUUGGGCUUAAAGGGCGCGUCGGCCGGCGUGCAAGUCAGCUGUAAAAUCGCGCGGCUCAACCGCGCCCCGUAGUUGAAACUGGACGCAUUGAGUUCACAACAGGCAGGCGGAAUUCGUGGUGUAGCGGUGAAAUGCAUAGAUAUCACGAGGAACCCCGAUUGCGAAGGCAGCCUGCCGGGGUGCGACUGACGCUGAGGCUCGAAGGUGCGGGUAUCAAACAGGAUUAGAUACCCCAGUAGUC
This 459-nucleotide ribosomal RNA is filed under the name uncultured bacterium. RNAcentral describes it as "partial 16S ribosomal RNA". It matches the Rfam family "Bacterial small subunit ribosomal RNA", at positions 338 to 795 of the family's 1533-position model. The record is from RNAcentral.